This 508-nucleotide ribosomal RNA is filed under the name uncultured glomeraceous AM fungus. Its description in RNAcentral is "SSU rRNA". It matches the Rfam family "Eukaryotic small subunit ribosomal RNA", at positions 569 to 1078 of the family's 1831-position model. Lineage: Eukaryota; Fungi; Glomeromycota; Glomeromycetes; Glomerales; Glomeraceae. The record is from RNAcentral.
AGCAGCCGCGGUAAUUCCAGCUCCAAUAGCGUAUAUUAAAGUUGUUGCAGUUAAAAAGCUCGUAGUUGAAUUUCGGGGUUAGUAGGUUGGUCAUGCCUCUGGUAUGUACUGGUCUCACUAAUUCCUCCUUCCUGAUGAACCUUAAUGCCAUUAAUUUGGUGUUUUGGGGAAUUUGGACUGUUACUUUGAAAAAAUUAGAGUGUUUAAAGCAAGCUAACGCUUGAAUACAUUAGCAUGGAAUAAUGAAAUAGGACGUUCGAUCCUAUUUUGUUGGUUUCUAGGAUUGACGUAAUGAUUAAUAGGGAUAGUUGGGGGCAUUAGUAUUCAAUCGUCAGAGGUGAAAUUCUUGGAUUUAUUGAAGACUAACUACUGCGAAAGCAUUUGCCAAGGAUGUUUUCAUUAAUCAAGAACGAAAGUUAGGGGAUCGAAGACGAUCAGAUACCGUCGUAGUCUUAACCAUAAACUAUGCCGACUAGGGAUCGGAUGAUGUUAAUUUUUUAAUGACUCA